UACGAAGGGGGCUAGCGUUGUUCGGAAUCACUGGGCGUAAAGCGCGCGCAGGCGGACCGAUAAGUCAGAGGUGAAAUCUCCCGGCUCAACUGGGAGGGGCCCUUUGAUACUGUCGGUCUUGAGAUGCCUAGAGGAGAGUGGAAUUCCCGGUGUAGUGGUGGAAUGCGUAGAUAUCGGGAGGAACACCAGUGGCGAAAGCGGCUCUCUGGGGCGAUCUGACGCUGAGGCGCGAAAGCGUGGGGAGCAAACCGGG
RNAcentral lists this ribosomal RNA (253 nucleotides) under uncultured bacterium. RNAcentral's name for it is "partial 16S ribosomal RNA". It matches the Rfam family "Bacterial small subunit ribosomal RNA", at positions 524 to 777 of the family's 1533-position model. The record is from RNAcentral.